AACGCUAGCUACAGGCUUAACACAUGCAAGUCGAGGGGUAACGAAAGGGAAGCUUGCUUUCCUUGUCGACGACCGGCGCACGGGUGAGUAACGCGUAUGCAACUUACCUAUCAGAGGGGGAUAGCCCGGCGAAAGUCGGAUUAAUACCCCAUAAAACAGGGGUCCCGCAUGGGAAUAUUUGUUAAAGAUUCAUCGCUGAUAGAUAGGCAUGCGUUCCAUUAGGCAGUUGGCGGGGUAACGGCCCACCAAACCGACGAUGGAUAGGGGUUCUGAGAGGAAGGUCCCCCACAUUGGUACUGAGACACGGACCAAACUCCUACGGGAGGCAGCAGUGAGGAAUAUUGGUCAAUGGCCGAGAGGCUGAACCAGCCAAGUCGCGUGAAGGAAGAAGGAUCUAUGGUUUGUAAACUUCUUUUAUAGGGGAGUAAAGUGGAGGACGUGUCCUUUUUUGUAUGUACCCUAUGAAUAAGCAUCGGCUAACUCCGUGCCAGCAGCCGCGGUAAUACGGAGGAUGCGAGCGUUAUCCGGAUUUAUUGGGUUUAAAGGGUGCGUAGGUGGUGAUUUAAGUCAGCGGUGAAAGUUUGUGGCUCAACCAUAAAAUUGCCGUUGAAACUGGGUUACUUGAGUGUGUUUGAGGUAGGCGGAAUGCGUGGUGUAGCGGUGAAAUGCAUAGAUAUCACGAAGAACUCCGAUUG
Molecule: ribosomal RNA, 695 nt
Filed under: uncultured bacterium
Lineage: Bacteria
Description: bacterial SSU rRNA
Rfam family: Bacterial small subunit ribosomal RNA
Source: RNAcentral